RNAcentral lists this transfer RNA (68 nucleotides) under Marmota monax (woodchuck). RNAcentral's name for it is "tRNA.Ala". Lineage: Eukaryota; Metazoa; Chordata; Mammalia; Rodentia; Sciuridae. The record is from RNAcentral.
GUUGUAGCUCAGUGGUAGAGCGUUCAUCUAGCACGUGCGAGGCCCUGGGUUCAAUACAGAGCACCACA